UGAAUGGAAACUCUAAGUGAGUGAAUCAUGGCAGACAAAAGUGUCACCUAUUUACGUUUGUCUAAAUGGGCCUUGUGCCUCUGUUUGCAUUCGUGUACUUGAUUAAGUCUCAGAAUUAUUGCAGCUUUUCUAACUCAUAUGUUAGCUCCGAAAGGUACUUGUGUGUAUAUGGUUUCAUCUAUAUUAAGGCAAGGAGAUAAAGUUUGGUUGAUGGUGGUUAUUACAAGUCGAGAUGACGCUUUUGCUGCCACAAAAUAUUUGGUAGACGUGUAUGUUAGAUCGUGCUAAUAUUUUGAGCUUAUGAGUCGAGCGCGUCCUGCGAGCACAACACAACGAGUGAGACGUUUCUUUUGCAUAUUCAUGAGAAUGAAAUGUAAAAGCUUAUUUAGAGAUUGUUUGAUAAAUAUUUUGAUAAAAAUUUUAGCAGAUUUUGAUAAAUUUUAAAAAUAUAUUAUUAUAUGAAAAUUAAACAAUAUUAUAUUGACAAAAAAUGGAAC
This 497-nucleotide long non-coding RNA is filed under the name Olea europaea (common olive). RNAcentral describes it as "long non-coding RNA (OEUR_LNC004067)". The record is from RNAcentral. Lineage: Eukaryota; Viridiplantae; Streptophyta; Magnoliopsida; Lamiales; Oleaceae.